Daphnia pulicaria is the source of this 1076-nucleotide long non-coding RNA. RefSeq lists it as uncharacterized. Lineage: Eukaryota; Metazoa; Arthropoda; Branchiopoda; Diplostraca; Daphniidae. The transcript has 5 exons. The record is from RefSeq and is a predicted model, not a curated record.
AUUCGUGAUCCUCGUUAAAUUUGUGGUAAAGUUCAUGUUUUAUAUUGUACGAAAGCGUACUUCCGGUUUUUAGAAUUUUCCUGGACUAUUAUGCAUCAGGAAAAAUCUCGAUUUUGACCAAAUUCUGGAUUUCGCUUAAAUUACACUUAAUCGACCCCAAAUUUCACGUAGAUCACGAAUAUUUAGUUUAUUUUUACGACAGCUUAAUGGUUAAGGCGCUAUCGCUUACUUCCGGUAUACUUCCGGAAAAUUUGCAUAAAACUAGCAAGUGAGCUUUGUUCUCUGUAGAAUUCUAAAGACUCCAUGCUAAUUUUAAGCAAAGAGAAAUGGUAUCAUCAAGAUUUGUGAGCAUCUUAAGACCAGUCCUUCAAAUACUGAGUUUUGAGACGUGUCAAAUAGAUGGCGACAUGGCGUGUUGAUGGUGUCAGUUAGGCUUAUGAUGUCAAAAGUUAAGCUAUCUUUUCUUCGAAAAUUAUCAAUGAUUUAAUGAAUUCAUAGGUAAAUUCGAGUGAUAUUUCGUCUGUAACUUGUCGGAGGAAACGUGAAAGCAUAGACUCGUAGUCUAUGGUGAAAGGGUCGUGCAGCCUACAUCAAUGUUCAAAAUCAUUGUAUUCUACUAAAUGUGCCAUCGAAAUGAUACAGGCAACAACCAACACUAGCUUUAUUACAAUCACCAACCCUAUUAUGGAUCAAUCUCUCAUUCCAUCUUCUAAAGAACCUUGGAUAACAGAUCAUUAGUUUCAUGUGUUCUAAACUCCAGGUUUCUAAAUUUGCAUGGCAGACUUAAUGAGAAGUCACGUCCUUUCAAGAAAGUCAUCAAGGUCCCUUGUUUACUAACCUUUUGGCUGCUAUUUGAGGGUAAUCCUUCGCUACUUGUCAUGGCCUUCAUCCACAGGUGAAAAACCGACGAGAGAAUGCUGCAAUCCAAGACUGAUAAAUUGUUUAAUCGUUACAUUAAAUUAUAAGUGCAUAUUUGGGCUCCCUUCUUUUCUGUGGCCCCGUUUCCCAAACUAACCACUAACCAACGCCCGCCGGUGGUCACUCACCCGCUGUGAAACCAGGAGGAGGGGAGGGCU